ACGUAGGGGGCAAGCGUUAUCCGGAAUUAUUGGGCGUAAAGAGCGCGUAGGUGGUUUUUUAAGCGUGAGGUGAAAGGCAAUAGCUUAACUAUUGUAAGCCUUGCGAACUGGAAGACUUGAGUGCAGGAGAGGAAAGUGGAAUUCCUAGUGUAGCGGUGAAAUGCGUAGAUAUGAGGAGGAACACCAAUGGCGAAGGCGCCUUUCUGGACUGUAUCUGACAUGGAGGCACGAAAGCGUGGCCAGCAAACAG
This 250-nucleotide ribosomal RNA is filed under the name uncultured prokaryote. RNAcentral describes it as "partial 16S rRNA". It matches the Rfam family "Bacterial small subunit ribosomal RNA", at positions 525 to 775 of the family's 1533-position model. The record is from RNAcentral.